Molecule: long non-coding RNA, 556 nt
Filed under: Anser cygnoides (Swan goose)
Lineage: Eukaryota; Metazoa; Chordata; Aves; Anseriformes; Anatidae
Description: lncRNA (ENSACDG00005013911.1)
Source: RNAcentral
UGGAAUGGAUAGAAAAUACUUGUAUUUUGUGUAGAAUUUCCAGCCAAGCAGAACAGCGAGAACAUACUUAGCCCUGCGUGCUGGUACCAAAGAGCAGUGCUGAAACAAGCCCUCCAAUUUCCAAUGCGUGGAAGUUCUUGCUGCCCCGACUUUUCAGCUUCUGACCUAGCCCUGGAAAUCAGGUAUCAUACGAGACCAGACCUAGAGAGUGUCUGCUCCCUUGACGGGAUCUGAGAACCCCUGGUUUUAUGUAAUAUGUCUCUUCAAAUCUAGAUUGUUAAGUGGCAUAGGCUUGGGGGCGGGGAUAGGGGCGGAAGGGAAUUGGUCUCAACAUAAUUUUUUAUUCCAAUAUAAAACUUCUUGCUUUUACUAUUUAAAAUUUUUCUUUGCCAGUGGCUGACUAGCUUGAAGUCUUUGAAACACUGAGCUUUCUAUAAAAUCCAAAUAAUUCUCUGUAAAUCAAAGUACUUGGCAUGCUUGCUGCAAAGCCUGAAGGUUUUUUUUUCCUUUUUUUUUUUUUUUUUUAAGGUAAUCUCUAGAAAGUAGUUUGUACUCA